GUGUGCAUAGUGUAACAAACACGUCAGCUUUUCAUGCUGAAAAUAUAUAGUAAUAUUACACAC
This 63-nucleotide transfer RNA is filed under the name Pithemera bicincta. RNAcentral's name for it is "tRNA-Glu". The record is from RNAcentral. Lineage: Eukaryota; Metazoa; Annelida; Clitellata; Crassiclitellata; Megascolecidae.